Molecule: ribosomal RNA, 782 nt
Filed under: Pleosporales sp. O7i89H
Lineage: Eukaryota; Fungi; Ascomycota; Dothideomycetes; Pleosporales
Description: eukaryotic LSU rRNA
Rfam family: 5.8S ribosomal RNA (bases 407-560)
Source: RNAcentral
GUUCGUAGGUGACCUGCGGAGGAUCAUUAAUUACAAUAAGCCUAUGACUUCAGGGAAGGCAGUCGAUCGCCCUGUAGCAGGUUGGGCGGUGCCCUCCGGGUCUCCCGGAGCCAACCCACCUGCGAACGGCCGGCUCCCUGAUACGUUAUGCUUUAGCGGGUGGGACUGCGGCCCUCGGGGCCCCGUGAUCUGCCAUGCCUGGCUUCGUCCUUCGGUCGGGCUUUGGUUGCGCGGGAGCAAGCCCUGGCGGUGUAGGGUCUCAUGUGACCCUUUCACGCACCCAUGUCUGAAUCCUUUAUUCUACGAGCACCUCUUGUUCUCCUUCGGCGGGGCAACCUGCCGUUGGAACCAUCAAAAACUCCUUUUGCAUCUAAGCAUUACCAGUUCGGAUACAGACAAUCGUUACAACUUUCAACAAUGGAUCUCUUGGCUCUGGCAUCGAUGAAGAACGCAGCGAAAUGCGAUAAGUAGUGUGAAUUGCAGAAUUCAGUGAAUCAUCGAAUCUUUGAACGCACAUUGCGCCCCUUGGUAUUCCAUGGGGCAUGCCUGUUCGAGCGUCAUCUACACCCUCAAGCUCUGCUUGGUGUUGGGCGUCUGUCCCGCCUCGGCGCGUGGACUCGCCCCAAAUCCAUUGGCAGCGGUCUUCCGCCUCCUCCCGCGCAGCACAUUGCGCUUCUCGAGGUGUUGCGGCCCGCGUCCACGAAGCGACAAUCUACCGUCUUUGACCUCGGAUCAGGUAGGGAUACCCGCUGAACUUAAGCAUAUCAUAAAGCCGGAAGGAA